Molecule: ribosomal RNA, 522 nt
Filed under: uncultured bacterium
Lineage: Bacteria
Description: partial 16S ribosomal RNA
Source: RNAcentral
AACGCACGCUAGGGUUACCGCGGCUGCUGGCACGGAGUUAGCCGGUGCUUCUUCUGCGAGUAACGUCACAGAUGUAAGGUAUUAACUUACACCCUUUCCUCCUCGCUGAAAGUGCUUUACAACCCGAAGGCCUUCUUCACACACGCGGCAUGGCUGCAUCAGGGUUUCCCCCAUUGUGCAAUAUUCCCCACUGCUGCCUCCCGUAGGAGUCUGGGCCGUGUCUCAGUCCCAGUGUGGCUGAUCAUCCUCUCAGACCAGCUAGGGAUCGUCGCCUAGGUGAGCCUUUACCUCACCUACUAGCUAAUCCCACCUGGGCUUAUCCAUCAGCGCAAGGCCCGAAGGUCCCCCUGCUUUCCCCCGUAGGGCGUAUGCGGUAUUAGCAGUCGUUUCCAACUGUUAUCCCCACAAAUGGGCAAAUUCCCAGGCAUUACUCACCCGUCCGCCGCUCGUCAUCUUCAAAAGCAAGCUUUUGAAAUGUUACCGCUCGACUUGCAUGUGUUAGGCCUGCCGCCAGCGUUCAAU